Molecule: ribosomal RNA, 497 nt
Filed under: uncultured bacterium
Lineage: Bacteria
Description: partial 16S ribosomal RNA
Rfam family: Bacterial small subunit ribosomal RNA
Source: RNAcentral
GAUGAACGCUGGCGGCGUGCCUAAUACAUGCAAGUCGAGCGAACGGACGAGAAGCUUGCUUCUCUGAUGUUAGCGGCGGACGGGUGAGUAACACGUGGAUAACCUACCUAUAAGACUGGGAUAACUUCGGGAAACCGGAGCUAAUACCGGAUAAUAUUUUGAACCCCAUGGUUCAAAAGUGAAAGACGGUCUUGCUGUCACUUAUAGAUGUAUCCGUGCUGCAUUAGCUAGUUGGUAAGGUAACGGCUUACCAAGGCAACGAUGCAUAGCCGACCUGAGAGGGUGAUCGGCCACACUGGAACUGAGACACGGUCCAGACUCCUACGGGAGGCAGCAGUAGGGAAUUUUCCGCAAUGGGCGAAAGCCUGACGGAGCAACGCCGCGUGAGUGAUGAAGGUCUUCGGAUUGUAAAGCUCUUUUAUCAGGGAAGAAAAGAUGUGUAAGUAUAUCUGGAUUCCUUGACGGUACCCAAUCAGAAAGCCCCGGCUAACUACGUG